GCUUACCAUGCAGUCGAGCGGUAAGGCCCUUCGGGGUACACGAGCGGCGAACGGGUGAGUAACACGUGAGCAACCUGCCCCUGACUCCGGGAUAAGCGGUGGAAACGCCGUCUAAUACCGGAUACGACCCGCCACCUCAUGGUGGAGGGUGGAAAGUUUUUCGGUCAGGGAUGGGCUCGCGGCCUAUCAGCUUGUUGGUGGGGUAACGGCCUACCAAGGCGAUUACGGGUAGCCGGCCUGAGAGGGCGACCGGCCACACUGGGACUGAGACACGGCCCAGACUCCUGCGGGAGGCAGCAGUGGGGAAUAUUGCGCAAUGGGCGAAAGCCUGACGCAGCGACGCCGCGUGGGGGAUGACGGCCUUCGGGUUGUAAACCUCUUUUACCACCAACGCAGGCCCGGAGUUCUCUUCGGGUUGACGGUAGGUGGGGAAUAAGGACCGGCUAACUACGUGCCAGCAGCCGCGGUAAUACGUAGGGUCCGAGCGUUGUCCGGAAUUAUUGGGCGUAAAGAGCUCGUAGGCGGCGUGUCGCGUCUGCUGUGAAAGACCGGGGCUUAACUCCGGUUCUGCAGUGGAUACGGGCAUGCUAGAGGUAGGUAGGGGAGACUGGAAUUCCUGGUGUAGCGGUGAAAUGCGCAGAUAUCAGGAGGAACACCGGUGGCGAAGGCGGGUCUCUGGGCCUUACCUGACGCUGAGGAGCGAAAGCAUGGGGAGCGAACAGGAUUAGAUACCCUGGUAGUCCAUGCCGUAAACGUUGGGCGCUAGGUGUGGGGACUUUCUACGGGUUCCGCGCCGUAGCUAACGCAUUAAGCGCCCCGCCUGGGGAGUACGGCCGCAAGGCUAAAACUCAAGGAAUUGACGGGGGCCCGCACAAGCGGCGGAGCAUGUUGCUAAUUCGACGCAACGCGAGAACUUACCAAGGUUUGACAUCACCCGUGACUCGCAGAGAUGUGAGGUCAUUUAGUUGC
RNAcentral lists this ribosomal RNA (969 nucleotides) under actinomycete CXB725. Its description in RNAcentral is "bacterial SSU rRNA". It matches the Rfam family "Bacterial small subunit ribosomal RNA", at positions 46 to 1027 of the family's 1533-position model. The record is from RNAcentral. Lineage: Bacteria; Bacillati; Actinomycetota; Actinomycetes; Actinomycetales.